ACGGGGUGCAGCAGGCGCGAAAACUUCACAAUGGGCGAAAGCCCGAUGAGGGAAUUCCUAGUGCUAGGACAUUUGUUCUAGCUUUUCUCAAGCGUAGAUAACUUGAGGAAUAAGGGCUGGGUAAGACGGGUGCCAGCCGCCGCGGUAAUACCUGCAGCCCAAGUGGUGGUCGAUUUUAUUGAGUCUAAAACGUUCGUAGCCGGUUUGGUAAAUCUUUGGGUAAAUCGGGAGGCUUAACUUUCCGACUUCCGAAGAGACUGUUAAACUUGGGACCGGGAGAGGCUAGAGGUACUUCUGGGGUAGGGGUAAAAUCCUGUAAUCCUAGAAGGACCACCGGUGGCGAAGGCGUCUAGCUAGAACGGAUCCGACGGUGAGGGACGAAGCCCUGGGUCGCAAACGGGAUUAGAUACCCCGGUAGUCCAGGGUGUAAACGUUGCAGACUUGGUGUUGGAGGCCCUUCGGGGGCAUUCAGUGCCGGAGAGAAGUUGUUAAGUCUGCUACUUGGGGAGUACGUCCGCAAGGAUGAAACUUAAAGGAAUUGGCGGGGGAGCAC
Molecule: ribosomal RNA, 553 nt
Filed under: uncultured archaeon
Lineage: Archaea
Description: bacterial SSU rRNA
Rfam family: Archaeal small subunit ribosomal RNA
Source: RNAcentral